RNAcentral lists this ribosomal RNA (531 nucleotides) under uncultured beta proteobacterium. Its description in RNAcentral is "bacterial SSU rRNA". It matches the Rfam family "Bacterial small subunit ribosomal RNA", at positions 340 to 865 of the family's 1533-position model. The record is from RNAcentral. Lineage: Bacteria; Pseudomonadati; Pseudomonadota; Betaproteobacteria.
UACGGGAGGCAGCAGUGGGGAAUUUUGGACAAUGGGCGAAAGCCUGAUCCAGCAAUGCCGCGUGUGGGAAGAAGGCCUUCGGGUUGUAAACCACUUUUGUACGGAACGAAACGGUUCGCUUUAAUACAGUGGGCUAAUGACGGUACCGUAAGAAUAAGCACCGGCUAACUACGUGCCAGCAGCCGCGGUAAUACGUAGGGUGCGAGCGUUAAUCGGAAUUACUGGGCGUAAAGCGUGCGCAGGCGGUUAUAUAAGACAGUUGUGAAAUCCCCGGGCUCAACCUGGGAAUUGCAUCUGUGACUGUAUAGCUAGAGUACGGUAGAGGGGGAUGGAAUUCCGCGUGUAGCAGUGAAAUGCGUAGAUAUGCGGAGGAACACCGAUGGCGAAGGCAAUCCCCUGGACCUGUACUGACGCUCAUGCACGAAAGCGUGGGGAGCAAACAGGAUUAGAUACCCUGGUAGUCCACGCCCUAAACGAUGUCAACUGGUUGUUGGGUGCAUUAGUACUCAGUAACGAAGCUAACGCGUAAGU